RNAcentral lists this long non-coding RNA (796 nucleotides) under Androctonus crassicauda. The record is from RNAcentral. Lineage: Eukaryota; Metazoa; Arthropoda; Arachnida; Scorpiones; Buthidae.
UAUAUACAGUAUAUGUAUAUUUAUUAUAUAUAAAAAUUAUUAUUUUUUAUUUGUAACGAAUUUUUAUCACAAAAAAAAGUGCCGAGGAAAGAAAUAAAUCGACAUCCUCCAGCAUCGAAGGCGCGCGUUCUAGCGCAGCGCCACCCCUACCUCCAACAAAAUGGCUUUUUAGAAGGGUCAUGGGUGCACCAAAACUUAAAUUUGAAUUUUCUGGUAAAAAAGAGAGAAGUGGUGGCGCUCACUUUGGGAAAGGACACAGAGGGGAAAAUGAAUCGAAUUUACCGAUAAUUAUCAAAAAUUGGCCUACGCGAGUUUGGCCGUCUCCCGCUGAGUACUCCAAUCGUAUCACUCAAUUAACGGUGGAUGACUCUGUUUUUAAUUAGAAUUAAGUACGCCUACUAUAUGCGAAUGUUGCAGAAAAUACCGAAAAAAGUUUCACAGUUUAGAUAGGAGGUUAUUAGUUGGUCUUGGUUUUAUGACCCAAGUAGAUGAAACUGGCAUUUUUACAAGUAAAUAUCGGGUCGGAAGAGUCUUAGCCAUAAGUGGAACUGGCAGAAUAACUAGCGAUAUGCUAUGGCCACCAUCCAAUCGUUAAUUCUAUUCUUACCAGCAAUCUUAUCGAAAAUUCUACUGUUAUGGCUGAUAAUUGAUGACGAUAUAACCAAUGGCCAUAAUUAGUUUAUAAUUAUUUUAAAGUAAAUCAUUCAAAAAGUUUCGUAGAUAUAGAUUUUUCCUGGAUAAAUAUGCAGAGAAUUUUAAAAUGUUCGGGUCACAAAAAAAUAUUUCAAAAAUCUGC